RNAcentral lists this small RNA (29 nucleotides) under Bombyx mori (domestic silkworm). RNAcentral describes it as "ovarian small RNA-15734". The record is from RNAcentral. Lineage: Eukaryota; Metazoa; Arthropoda; Insecta; Lepidoptera; Bombycidae.
GAGAUUAGCGGGAGCACUAUUUCGACCUC